GAAACUGCUAUCCCCACCGUCGUGGUAAGGGACAGUUUUAGUCACAUUUUUAUCAUGGCAUCAAAAAAUCCACAAAGUUUUGAGUUCACAUCUUCAAUACCAAGUUUCCACACUUCAUAACAUCAGCAUUCCUGUACAACAUGUAGUUGGCUACAUUCAUAGCAAUAGGCUCUUACAUUCCACUUUAUAUCCCUGUAUUGACUGCAUCCAGUAUUUGUUAUUAGCACCUAUAUGAUUUGCUAAUACCACGGGUUAAGAGAAAUCGUGUGGCAUCUACCCUACUUGGCAAUAUUAUGAGGAGGGUGAGAAGGCCUUCACCAUAAAGGUAGCCCAAACACCACAGUUUUUUCUUCAACUCUUAGAGGCAGAACGGCUUGAGAAUAACACAACCAAUGUUUUUAGGAACAAGCACACGAUAAGGAAAUAACUAAAAAUAUUUCACAGUAACUGACAUAAUAGUUUUUCAUUUUUUCUGCAUACCAAUCACCAAUACUAUUAUAUCAAAGUCUAUUUAACUACUCUCGCAUAUAGUAAUAGUUUUUGUAAAAGUCCUCUUUUUAUCCUAUCUUUUGUGAGUGGUCUUUCAAAAUCUGGAGAAUGUAAAAAAAACCACAACACUGAGAGGUAAAUUGUGAAUUCCAUGUUAAGAUGUACAGCAGGGCCGGGCAGUGGUGGCGCGCACACUUUUAAUCCCAGCGGCUCAAGGCAGAGGCAGGCCGGUCUCUUGAGUUGAGGCUAGCCUGGUCUAUAGAGCCAGGNCCAGGACAGCUAGAGCACCACAGAAAAACCCUGUCUUGAAAAACAAAACAAAACAAAAAUGAUGUACAGCAUGUCCAGAAGCAUAAAUUCAACUUCUUUGGUAUUUCUUUAGUGCCAAAAACAAAUAAAAAGGUGACAACUUCCAACCUUUCUAUCAGCCAUUUUUUUUUUCAUUUCUUUCGGUGCAACUCUCACGAGUAAGGGGCUCUUUUCCAGUUUUACUCCCUGUCCUUCAACUCUUCAGGCUUCACUCAAACAUAGAGCCCAUGAGGCACCAUAGCAGUUCCUCCCUUGAGAAGCAACAGAGUAGGAAGCUAAUGCUCUCCUAACAACCACUAAGUGUUGCUGUCUAACAACCACUAUAUCCCAGGGUUAGGUGAAAACUUGAGCCUACCUUUCUAUACAAUUCAAAGCAUCUCUGACAGAGGGCUGAAGAGACCUGAAAGCCAUUAAGACGCUCAACUCCCUGACAGAAUGAUGCUUUACAUCCUAAAUGUGGAGAAAGCAGCCAAGUCUGACCUUGACAUACAGAGCAUACAGUCUCAACUGUGGAUCAGCUGAAACAGUGACCUCUAGGAGAGGGGAAGAGCAGGCCAGCGGCAGAGCCGUGCGUCUCAGGACCAAGGGGGCCUCGGGGCUCAUCCGACCGGCUUGAUCGAGGAAAGGCACGGAAACCCCGGCCCGCCGCCGGUGUCCACGCAUGCAUGCAAGGGCAGCUGGGCGGCUUGCAGCGGUCUAGAGCUUCCGCAGCCAGUGC
Molecule: long non-coding RNA, 1516 nt
Filed under: Mus pahari (shrew mouse)
Lineage: Eukaryota; Metazoa; Chordata; Mammalia; Rodentia; Muridae
Description: lncRNA (MGP_PahariEiJ_G0004387.1)
Source: RNAcentral